Molecule: long non-coding RNA, 1265 nt
Organism: Vespa mandarinia (Asian giant hornet)
Lineage: Eukaryota; Metazoa; Arthropoda; Insecta; Hymenoptera; Vespidae
Source: RefSeq, a predicted model, not a curated record
AAUAGAAAAUGGAUAGUAAAAAUUGAUCCAUUCUCUUUACACUUAAAGUGAAUUUACAAUUGACACUUAGUUAAAUCGUUAUGCACAAAUAUUACGUAUAUUAAAAAAGUGGCAGUGAGUGCAUUGGUAUAAUAGUUAUUAACUCAACAAUUGUACGACAAUGACACAUUAAUAAGAUAAUGAUUGCAUUUUAUAUAUUUAACGAGUAUGCUAAUCUAAAUGAUAAGGACACAAAUAAAAUAUUUAAAUAUAGCCACUUCUCUUUUCUAAAAUGAGCUGAUAUAACUUAUCAUAGUCAGCCUUAAAUCUCGUCAGAAUAAUACCACUAAUUUUAUUGUUUCAUUGCAAUAUUGGUGCGCGAUUCCUCGCACAUAUUGUUGUUUAAACAUUUCUAUCUAAUGUAAAAUUUAAAAAAAAGAAUUUCUGUUGUAUAAAAAGUGGCCAAGUUAAUCAUUAAUAAAUCAUGAUACAUGUGUGUGUAUGUGUGUGUGUGCGCGCGUAUAUUUCGAGCAUAAUGAAACUAUAAAGGACUUCAAGAGACAUAAGACAUCAGUCUCAUGGCUUAGGCUGUACUCGUGUGACUAUUAGCACCACUAAUGACACUAAAGAGAGCAGCACUGUUACGUUUAAAGCUUCCAACUUGUUCGUCCGACCAUAUAGGUUCACCCAAUAACGAUGACAAGCUUUGGCAAAGCUUUUGAUAAUUUUCGCGUAAUACUUCCUGAUAUUCAUGCUGAUCGGGAGUAAUUAACUUACUGUUGAUCUGCAAGGCUGUAUAACAUAUUUUUACAAAUUCCCUGGAAAAAGAAGAAGAGAAAAAGAAAAAAAGAAAAAAAAAAAAAAAAAAAAAAAAAGAAAAAAAAAGAGAAAAACAAUAACACAUUAUUAUACAUAAUAUAUGAUAUGAGGAAAAAAAGAUAUUCUUAUAUAAUAAAAUUACCUAAAAACAUCCUUUAACUCUUCAACUUUAUCAUCAGGAUAUUGCGGAGAAAGUGCUGGGUCUAAGAAUGCAGAGGCAUAAGCAAGUGGACCAGCAUUUACUGUCACGCAAAUGCUUCCUUGUAAUCGCAAUUGAAGUUUUUUUACAUCAGUUGGAGCUAUUAAAGCCACAUCCUCUAAUUCUUGAACGCGUUGUCUCAUUUCAUCUAAAGCUACUUCGAUGGGGCCAAGUUCCAUUAUUCUCUUUUCGAUCACUACUAUACGUUUUUUUAUGUACGGAAAGGAAUAUUGUGCUAUAAAUAAAAAGUAACGUUUUAUAUGCCUUA